AACAUACUCCCUCUGUCCGAAAAUAAUUAUCAUCAAAAUAGAUAAAAAGAGAUGUAUCUAGAACUAAAAUACGUCUAGAUACACCCCCUUCUAUUUUGAUGACAAGUAUUUCCGGAUGGAGUGAGUAUUUA
Molecule: non-coding RNA, 131 nt
Organism: Triticum aestivum (bread wheat)
Lineage: Eukaryota; Viridiplantae; Streptophyta; Magnoliopsida; Poales; Poaceae
Source: Rfam